This is a ribosomal RNA of 2919 nucleotides. It matches the Rfam family "Bacterial large subunit ribosomal RNA". The record is from Rfam.
GGUCAAGUGAGGUAAGGGCGCAUGGUGGAUGCCCAGGCACCUGGAGCCGAUGAAGGACGCGGCAAGCGGCGAAACGCCCCGGGGAGCCGCAAGCGGGCGUUGAUCCGGGGAUCUCCGAAUGGGGAAACCCGCUUGGGGUAAUACCCAAGCAUCCGCUGAUGAAUCCAUAGUCAGCGGAGGGGAACCGGGCGAACUGAAACAUCUCAGUAGCCCGAGGAAAAGAAAGCAAAAGCGAUUCCCCGAGUAGUGGCGAGCGAAAGGGGAAGAGCCCAAACCUACCGCUUAGGCGGUAGGGGUUCGGGCCCACCGCAAAAGUGUGCGAGUACUCUAGGCGAACGGACCUGGAAAGGCCGGCCAUAGAGGGUGAAAGCCCCGUAGCCGAAAGGGGAAAGCGCACUGGUGGGUACCAGAGUACCACGGGAUAGGCGACCCUGUGGGAAGGAGGGAGGACCACCUCCUAAGGCUAAAUACUCCAGGUGACCGAUAGCGCAUAGUACCGUGAGGGAAAGGUGAAAAGAACCCCGGGAGGGGAGUGAAAUAGAACCUGAAACCAUGUGCCCACAAGCAGUCAGAGCCUGGGUAAUACCAGGUGAUGGCGUACUUUUUGCAGUACGGGCCGGCGAGUUAUGGUAGCGAGCGAGGUUAAGGGUAGAGAUACCCGGAGCCGAAGCGAAAGCGAGUCCGAAGAGGGCGGAAAGUUCGCUGCCAUAGACCCGAAACCGUGCGACCUACCCAUGGCCAGGGUGAAGCCGGAAUAAAAUCUGGUGGAGGCCCGAACCCGUUGGCCGUGAAAAGCCAUGGGAUGAGCUGUGGGUAGCGGUGAAAUGCCAAUCGAGCACGGAGAUAGCUGGUUCUCCCCGAAAUAGCUUUAGGGCUAGCCUCAGGGUAAAGCCUGUGGAGGUAGAGCCACUGACUGGGCUAGGGGCCGAGAGGCUACCGAACCCUAUCAAACUCCGAAUGCCACAGGCAAGUACCUGGGAGUCAGACCACGAGUGAUAAGAUCCGUGGUCGAGAGGGGAACAGCCCAGACCCCCAGCUAAGGUCCCGAAGGGCAUGUUAAGUGGGAAAGGAAGUGGGACUUCGAAGACAACCGGGAUGUUGGCUUAGAAGCAGCCAUACAUUUAAAGAGUGCGUAACAGCUCACCGGUCGAGAGGUCCUGCGCCGAAAAUGAACGGGGCUCAAACAUGCCACCGAAGCUGGGGCUGCGCGUAAGCGCGGGGUAGGGGAGCGUACUGCGCGGGCAGAAGGCUGAGCGUAAGCGAGGCUGGACUGCGCAGUAGUGAGAAUGCCGGCAUGAGUAGCGAGAGCAAGGUGAGAAACCUUGCCGCCGGAAGCCUAAGGUUUCCUGGGGAAGGGUAAUCCGCCCAGGGUAAGUCGGGGCCUAAGCCGAGGCCGGAAGGCGUAGGCGAUGGGAAACCGGUUGAUAUUCCGGUACCACCGAGGGCCGCUUGAGGGAAGCGGGGACGCAGCGAGGUAGGCGGAGCGCGCGGUUGGUAGAGCGCGUCCAACCAGCCACCGAAGGGCACGUAGGCAAAUCCGCGUGCUGGCAGGGGGCUGGGAAGGGGAGCCGCAAGGCGAAGCCGCCGAGGCAGCUGCCAAGAAAAGCCGCUACCGAGGCCUGAGGUGCCCGUACCGCAAACCGACACAGGUAGGCGAGGAGAGAAUCCACAGGCGAGCGGGAGAACCCUCCUUAAGGAACUCGGCAAAUUGACCCCGUAACUUCGGGAGAAGGGGUGCCUCCCUCAGGCUUAGAGUUUAUUGCUCUAGGCUUGAGAAGGCCGCAGAGAAGAGGCCCAAGCGACUGUUUACCAAAAACACAGGUCUCUGCUAAGCCGAAAGGCGAAGUAUAGGGGCUGACGCCUGCCCGGUGCUGGAAGGUUAAGGGGAAGGGUGAAAGCCCUGAACCGAAGCCCCAGUGAACGGCGGCCGUAACUAUAACGGUCCUAAGGUAGCGAAAUUCCUUGUCGGGUAAGUUCCGACCUGCACGAAAGGCGUAACGACUUGGGCGCUGUCUCGAGGAGGGGCCCGGCGAAGUUGUAGUGCUCGUGAAGAUGCGAGCUACCCGCGAUUGGACGGAAAGACCCCGUGGAGCUUUACUGUAGCCUGUCACUGGGUCCUGGUAGUUCCUGUACAGGAUAGGUGGGAGACUGAGAAGGUGGCGCGCCAGCGUCACUGGAGUCGCCGGUGGGAUACCACCCUGGGACUACUGGGGUCCUAACCUAUAGCCGUUAUCCGGCGUAGGGACAAUGGCAGGUGGGCAGUUUGACUGGGGCGGUCGCCUCCUAAAAGGUAACGGAGGCGCCCAAAGGUCCCCUCAGCGCGGACGGAAAUCGCGCGUCGAGUGCAAGGGCAGAAGGGGGCUUGACUGUGAGACCGACGGGUCGAGCAGGGACGAAAGUCGGGCCUAGUGAUCCGACGGUAGCGAGUGGGAGUGCCGUCGCUCAACGGAUAAAAGCUACCCCGGGGAUAACAGGCUGAUCUCCCCCAAGAGUCCACAUCGACGGGGAGGUUUGGCACCUCGAUGUCGGCUCAUCGCAUCCUGGGGCUGAAGAAGGUCCCAAGGGUUGGGCUGUUCGCCCAUUAAAGCGGUACGUGAGCUGGGUUCAGAACGUCGUGAGACAGUUCGGUCCCUAUCCGUCGCGGGCGCAGGAGACUUGAGGGGAGCUGCCCCUAGUACGAGAGGACCGGGGCGGACGAGCCGAUGGUGUACCAGUUGCACCGCCAGGUGCACAGCUGGGUAGCCAAGCUCGUAUGGGAUAAACGCUGAAAGCAUCUAAGCGUGAAGCCCACCCCAAGAUAAGGUCUCCCACCUCGUAAGAGGGUAAGGCACCUCGAAGAAGACGAGGUAGAUAGGCCGGGGGUGUAAGAGCGGAAACGCUCUUAGCUGACCGGUACUAAUAAGCCGAGGACUUGACCCU